Numida meleagris (helmeted guineafowl) is the source of this 886-nucleotide long non-coding RNA. RefSeq lists it as uncharacterized. The transcript has 2 exons. NCBI's taxonomy places the organism in Eukaryota, Metazoa, Chordata, Aves, Galliformes, Numididae. The record is from RefSeq and is a predicted model, not a curated record.
GCUCCGGGGGUCCCCAUGGCCGCUCACCCCUCAGGAGCCGCCGACCCCCCCCCCCUCUAGCGCGGGGUCUCCCAUAGGGAUACGCGGGGUGCGCAGUUCGGGUCUCGGAGGUUUCGCCGUGGCACGCUUCGCCUUUUCCACGCUGCUUGAGGCACAGCUCCGUGCCAGGGGGGCAGCGAGCGGGGCCGAUGCAGCAGAAAAAGGGGGGAAAUUUCUAGAACUGCCUUUUUUUUUUUUUUUUUUUUUUAAACCUCGCCAAGAGAUCGCACCAAAGGAUUCAGCAAGAAAAAAAAAAAAUGGAAGAUUUCUCUUUGUUAUCCCUUCCUUCGAGCGGAAUUUCCAGUGUUCAAAUGGCACCGUAAAGUGGCACCUUUUACUAAUGGGCUUGCCGUAAUUAGCAGACGCAGCCUGCGCUGCAAAUCGCUCUUAUGGAUGUGGGAGCGCAGCUCCUUGACGUGGCAUCAUCCUCUUCUUUUUUUUCCCUGGGACCUGCUGCAGGAUGCCCCGCUCGCCUCCAUGGGGCCAUCCGUGGCUGUGGGUGACGAAAAGGGAAGGAGGGGAGGAAGGCGGAAAGCUGCCAUUCCCGAACCAGAAGCUCUCUUCGCUUCCCCGGCCGCAUCCCGGGCGCGCAUUUGGCGAGCAAGUUACGCGGAGCCUCCGCUGGAGGAAUCCGCGUUGUGCAGCGCACUCUGGACUUGAACAAGGAGGAAAUCCGGGUAAAAAUAUACACAGACAAAACAGCCUUGCAACGUGGAUAGAACCACCGAGGUUACAGGGAGAAGGCGUAAUAAUAAUUCAUAUUAUGUACAGGACUCCAUAUACGCUAAGUAUAAUUUGCAUUCAGAUUUGCAGGUCACAUCUUCUAAAUUAAAGGUGCUAAACACGA